Perkinsus chesapeaki is the source of this 70-nucleotide non-coding RNA. Lineage: Eukaryota; Perkinsozoa; Perkinsida; Perkinsidae. The record is from the annotation of a GenBank genome assembly.
GAGUUCAGCUUAGUGGUAGAGCGUCUGCUGUGUAAGUAGAAGGUCGUCAGUUCAAUCUCGGCUAUUACCU